GGACUGGUGAGUAACGCGUGGGUAAUCUGCCUUGGGCAUGGGGAUAGCCAUUAGAAAUAGUGGGUAAUACCGAAUACGUUCCACGGGGGGAGUGCUUGUGGAAGAAAGGGUGCUAGGGCACUGGCCUGAGAUGAGCUCGCGUCCCAUUAGCUAGUUGGUGAGGUAAAGGCCCACCAAGGCGAUGAUGGGUAGCCGGCCUGAGAGGGUGUACGGCCACACUGGGACUGAGAUACGGCCC
RNAcentral lists this ribosomal RNA (238 nucleotides) under uncultured bacterium. Its description in RNAcentral is "partial 16S ribosomal RNA". It matches the Rfam family "Bacterial small subunit ribosomal RNA", at positions 100 to 332 of the family's 1533-position model. The record is from RNAcentral.